Rhinopithecus roxellana (golden snub-nosed monkey) is the source of this 1658-nucleotide long non-coding RNA. RefSeq lists it as uncharacterized. NCBI's taxonomy places the organism in Eukaryota, Metazoa, Chordata, Mammalia, Primates, Cercopithecidae. The transcript is spliced from 3 exons. The record is from RefSeq and is a predicted model, not a curated record.
AAGAUUUCAAUUAUGCUUUAGAAAAACUCCAGUAAUAAAAACGCAGGAGGAAAUAUGACAAAAUAUCAACAGUGGGCAUAUCUGGGUAAUGAGAUUGUGCAUAACUAUUUUUCUACUUCUCUCUCCUUCAAUCUACUUCCCAAGGAGCAGAUAACUGGCUCUAUAAUUAUAAAUACAAUAAAUCAAAAUGUAAGUAAAGUCGAAUGUGCACUAAUCGAGCUUUGUUUUCCCAUAUGGUAGUGGUCCCCAUCCCGGGCUGCACUCGAGGAUCCCCCAGGAGCCUGUUCUCACCCAGGUCAGGGCUGCCCCCUACCCAGUGUCAUCACUGGUAGGCGCCACCGACAGUCUGAUGAGAAACAGCUGGCAAUUUUGAAUCAGAAGCUGAAAGUGGCUCACUGGUGUUAUCAAUACACACACAGCUUCGCUCUUAUUUUGAAGUCACAGAGAACCAGUGCAGCUACACGAUUAGAGCUGACCGGCUGAGCGUUUUGUGAUCUGAAUUAUCAGCACCUGGAGAGCAGGGCGCCUCCCAAUGAGUGUUGAUCUCAGCGCUGGCAGCCCUUUCUCCCCAUUUUGACCUGUUUUGCCAUUUCUCUCAAUUGCCUCCCUGGCUCUCUCUAAGAAGCAGGGACGAGAAAGGACCGCUGAGGAAACUGAAGAGGCCAAGAGUUGAUUCUGUGCCCAGCUCAGACCGUGGCUGAUGCUCAGAGGCACGUGGGCUCUUGGAGGGUGGGGAUGAGCUGGGCAGCCCCAUGGCUCCGCCUGGCAGGGCCCCCAUGCUGUGCUUCUGUGUGCUCCACAGCGGCCAGUUCCAGGCACGGGGCAUCCCUGGUGCACUUGGCAGGUGAUUGACUCAGUGCCGCGAUCGCCACGGGACCUUUUGAGGAUGAUGCCCAGAAUCUCUGUUUUACUCCGAGGAACACAGCAGCUGCCAAGCUGCUAAGCAGGAGUUCUCAUGGUAGACGUUGGAAUUACCCAGCCACCACCCUGAUGGGACGCUUUCUGAAUGCAGAUGGAAACAACGACUUAACCGCAGCUUCGGAUGCAUCACACACAAAUGCUGGAUAAAGCUGCUCACUCACACGAAGCACCACCUGCUGCCGCUACCUGGAAUAUCCACAAUAUUCGAAGCUUGGUGGAAACAGAAGUUGGAAAAAAUAGAAAAUAAAACAAAAGGAUAGAAGGAGGGUGCUCUGAAUUCCAUUUCCUUAUAUAACAACAAGAGCUCCUUCAGUUUGUCGUGGACACCUUCAGGUGAGCACAGCUCAGGCACCGCAAGGACACUCCGCUGAGAAACAAAGACCACACUUAGUCCUCAUGAGAUACACGGGUGGUCUUUCAAGAGACCAUCAGAAAGAGGCUGCUUGGGUCCCGUCCGAGGAGAGACAGAAGACUGAGCCGUGGCGUACACUAUUAUCUGAUGCAACAGCCUUUUCUGCAGGAUAUUAAAGGACUGUAUAAAUAUUAAUUAUCUCAUUCAUCCUCAUCACUUUGUGUGAGACAAAGACAUUAUACAUGGCCAGUCACCCAUUUCACUAGGCUAAGUAUCUAAAGCCACCUUCCACAUGUAAUCGUUAACAUUUUGAAAUACUUUCACCUUUUUAUUAUUCAGAGAUGUUGAGUUUAUGAAGGACUCGAUCCUUUUCGGUUCUUUCUGC